RNAcentral lists this ribosomal RNA (253 nucleotides) under uncultured bacterium. Its description in RNAcentral is "partial 16S ribosomal RNA". It matches the Rfam family "Bacterial small subunit ribosomal RNA", at positions 524 to 776 of the family's 1533-position model. The record is from RNAcentral.
UACGGAGGGGGCUAGCGUUGUUCGGAAUUACUGGGCGUAAAGCGCGCGUAGGCGGCUUUGUAAGUUAGAGGUGAAAGCCCGGAGCUUAACUCCGGAAUUGCCUUUAAGACUGCAUCGCUAGAAUCAUGGAGAGGUGAGUGGAAUUCCGAGUGUAGAGGUGAAAUUCGUAGAUAUUCGGAAGAACACCGGUGGCGAAGGCGACUCACUGGGUCUUUACUGACGCUGAUGCACGAAAGCUAGGGUAGCAAACGGG